Oryza sativa Japonica Group (Japanese rice) is the source of this 1326-nucleotide non-coding RNA. NCBI's taxonomy places the organism in Eukaryota, Viridiplantae, Streptophyta, Magnoliopsida, Poales, Poaceae. The record is from RefSeq and is a predicted model, not a curated record.
UUCCCCAUUUUUCGGAUCUGGAGAGAGGUGAUGGGCUGAUGGCUGCGGCGCUCAGGGGAGCAGCUGAUUGGCCACGAUGGCGGCUUGGUGGAGCCGCUCAGCGACGGUAGCAGCGGCAGCCCCGGCUAAGAGCGGUGGCGGCCCUGGCUAGAAACGUCAAGGCGGUGGCCCUGGUUCGAAGGAGCAGCUCAGCGGCGGAGGCGGCCGCCAACUUAGUGGCUCGAGCCGGAGGCGAGUGGCGUCGAUGAAAGCCGGCUCCACGAUGACGGGUGACCGCUGUUCUCCGCCCACGGUCUCCACCGGCAUCCCUUCAGACGCCACCACCCUCCCCCCCCCAACCCUUGCCGACCUGCUCCACCCAAGCCACCGUGACGCCGCUCCACCGGCUUCACUGGCGUUCGGCUCUCCACCGCCGGCCCCGUCACUCUGCGACCCCCUCGCCAUCUUCGACACGGUGGCCGCCUCCCGCUCCUUAGGAUCCCCGAGUCACCACCGCCCUUGAUGUCCGCCUUGGCCAUGGACCAUUGAGGAGGACUGAAUUCUGCAUUGGUCAUUUGACUUUGUUUUAAUCUUUCACAUGCUCGUUGUUUUUCAGGGAUGAAUACAGUGGAUCAUUGUGGUAGGCCUGCUCCUAGAUUGUUGUCUUCAUGAUGCAUUCAACACCUCGUUCCUUGCUCUGAUCUUAAUUUUAACUUUAGUACUGAAUUCGUCUAUGCAACCUUCAGGAAAUUGGAACAAGACCAGGUGAGCUUUUGUGUACCAUUAUGAGAUUGAGGCCCUAAUGAUUGCGAGUGGUGGUGGUCAUAUACAAUUUCUUUUUUGGAUUGCUACUUAUAGUCCUGCGGCCUGGAUGUUGUUUUUGCGAUGCAUUAAUCACCUAAUUUUCAUACUCAUAUGAAUUUUUAUGUGGCCAGACAUGAAUUUGUGUGUGCAGUAUUGUUAGAAAUCUGCUCACAUCUGAAUUUUCAUUUGUUCAGUUAUCAGGAGUUGGCGCCCUUGCUGUAGAACAACACCUGCAACAUGCACAUACUCUGUUGUUUCUCCGCAUCGGCUGUUUUUUGCCAAUGAGGCGGGGAUGGCAACCUCCACAUCUGCCGCUGCCUGACUACCUAACUGCUAUAUCUGCAUGUUUUUUUUUUGGAAUACUUGGAUAAUUAACUAGUGAAUGCUCUGAAUUUUACUUGACGCGAGAACUUGCGUUGGAGGCAUAGCUUGAUGGCACUGCGGUUCACAAUGCUUUGCUUUAAAUGUUCAUGUUCUGAACUUUUUGGGUUGAGCAGAUUAGGUAGAGUGGAUUGCUCCAAAUAUGUUAGCUGAAUUUUGUUC